RNAcentral lists this ribosomal RNA (460 nucleotides) under uncultured bacterium. RNAcentral's name for it is "partial 16S ribosomal RNA". It matches the Rfam family "Bacterial small subunit ribosomal RNA", at positions 338 to 795 of the family's 1533-position model. The record is from RNAcentral.
CCUACGGGGGACUGCAGUGAGGAAUAUUGGUCAAUGGGCGGGAGCCUGAACCAGCCAAGUCGCGUGAGGGAAGACGGUCCUAUGGAUUGUAAACCUCUUUAGGCGGGGAGCAAGGCCGGGCACGUGUGCCCGGAGGGAGAGGACCCGCAGAAUAAGCAGCGGCGAACUCCGUGCCAGCAGCCUCGGUAAUACGGAGGAUGCGAGCGUUAUCCGGAUUUAUUGGGUUUAAAGGGUGCGCAGGCGGCGUGUCAAGUCAGCGGUAACAUGUCGGGGCUCAACCCCGGCCGGCCGUUGAAACUGGCGUGCUCGAGUUGGAGAGACGUAUGCUGAAUUCGUGGUGUAGCGGUGAUAUGCAUAGAUAUCACGAAGAACCCCGAUUGCGAAGGCAGCAUACCGGCUCCACCCUGACGCUGAGGCACGAAAGCGUGGGUAUCGAACAGGAUUAGAUACCCUUGUAGUC